GCGGAUGGCCGGAUGACCGCGGCCCCGGAGGUGAUCCGGGGGCGAGGAAAGUCCGGACUCCAUGAGGCAACGGUGCCGGGUAACACCCGGCCGGGGCAACCCGAGGGAAAGCGCCACAGAGAUCAGACUACCCGUGCCCGUCACGGGAAAAGGUGAAAAGGUGGGGUAAGAGCCCACCGCGGGACUGGCAACAGGACCGGCACGGCAAGCCCCACCGGGAGCAAUGCCAAAUAGGGGCCUCGCGCCCCGGAUCAUGUCCGGGGCAGGGACGCUUCAGCCCGAGAGGCCCGGGUUGGCAGCUUGAGCGCGCCGGUAACGGCGGGCCGAGAGGAAUGGUCAUCCGAGCCCCGGAUCACGGUCCGGGGUGGACAGAAUCCGGCUUACAGGCCAUCCGCGCAA
This 399-nucleotide RNase P RNA is filed under the name Paracoccaceae bacterium. RNAcentral's name for it is "Rhodobacteraceae bacterium (activated sludge metagenome) RNase P RNA component class A". It matches the Rfam family "Bacterial RNase P class A". From Rfam's summary of the family: Ribonuclease P (RNase P) is a ubiquitous endoribonuclease, found in archaea, bacteria and eukarya as well as chloroplasts and mitochondria. Its best characterised activity is the generation of mature 5'-ends of tRNAs by cleaving the 5'-leader elements of precursor-tRNAs. The record is from RNAcentral. Lineage: Bacteria; Pseudomonadati; Pseudomonadota; Alphaproteobacteria; Rhodobacterales; Paracoccaceae.